GGAAGUCACGGGGAGCUGGCGGCUGGGUUGGGCGGCGGAUCUGCAGAGUUUCGAGGUUCUGUCAAGUUCGCUGCCCGCCGCCCAACUUGAAGCCUCAUUUACCUUUCGGCUACCUGAUUUGGAUAAAUGGAGAAAAACCGGGGCCUCUAACUCAUAAUGCCCUCCCGCGUUCAAGAUGCCAGUUUUGGGGCGGAGAUUUCUAAAUUAAAGCCUACAUCCCGCGCGGGAAUAUCUGCUGGUAAUUUCUCGCCUGCCAGAAAACUCCUUUGAUCUCUGGCUGUGGAGACUCGGGACCCCUACCCAAGUAUGGGACACUGCCUCCGUUGGGGUUAUCUCAGAUCAAUGGAAUGGGAACAAGCUAUCCGGCCUGGGCGCCGUUCACGUCUCACAUCUGAGAUCGUAACACCGACUGUGCUUAGGACCUCAGCAAUAACUUUUUGCCGUCUCUGGCCCACUGACUCCUCUCAAAAUGUCCCCUGGUCCUUUUGCUAUUCACGUAUUUCUGUGGGCUUGAGAUUUGCUUAACUCCUAUAUUGGCAAAAGGCCACUUGAAAUCGCUAGCAGAUACUCGAUAACCUGAAAGGAUAUUGCCUGGGGACACCUGACAACAGAAAGUCUAAGGUUUUCAUCUAGGAUUGGGAGUUACCCCAACACCAGCAGGAUGCAGGAAAAAGUAACUGACCGGAUGGUUGCCUCAAUCUGUUGAUUCUUCAGUGAGUUAGCUCAGAUUUUGUCCAGGAACAGCUUUCAGAGCCAAAGAUUACGUAUUGAACUUUACCAAGGCAUCUGGUGACUAGAAAACUCCUGGAAGGUGGUCAUAGCAGAAAUUGUUGGGAAAGUUCUCAGCAUAAUAAAAGAGAAAUUUUUAUUUCCUUCAUGAUCCACUCCUACAGGGAAAAAUAAAUGGCAAAUGAAC
This 916-nucleotide long non-coding RNA is filed under the name Homo sapiens (human). RNAcentral describes it as "non-protein coding lnc-AMIGO1-2:2". Lineage: Eukaryota; Metazoa; Chordata; Mammalia; Primates; Hominidae. The record is from RNAcentral.